This 368-nucleotide ribosomal RNA is filed under the name uncultured organism. Its description in RNAcentral is "bacterial SSU rRNA". It matches the Rfam family "Bacterial small subunit ribosomal RNA", at positions 526 to 896 of the family's 1533-position model. The record is from RNAcentral.
CGGAGGAUCCAAGCGUUGUCCGGAUUUAUUGGGUUUAAAGGGUGCGUAGGCGGAUCUUUAAGUCAGUGGUGAAAGCCUGCAGCUUAACUGUAGAACAGCCAUUGAAACUGAAGAUCUUGAAUUAGGUUAAAGUAGGCGGAAUGUAUCAUGUAGCGGUGAAAUGCUUAGAUAUGAUACAGAACACCGAUAGCGAAGGCAGCUUGCUGAACCUAUAUCGACGCUGAGGCACGAAAGCGUGGGGAGCAAACAGGAUUAGAUACCCUGGUAGUCCACGCCCUAAACGUUGAUUACUCGUUGUUGGCGAUAUACUGUCAGCGACCAAGCUAAAGCGUUAAGUAAUCCACCUGGGAAGUACGACCGCAAGGUUG